GGUCAGUGAUGAGUGUUGGCAUGUAUUAUCUGAUCUGGAGCUGAUGUCUGUUACCACUUUAGCUCUAGAAUUACUCAGACCCA
This 83-nucleotide small nucleolar RNA is filed under the name Strigops habroptila (Kakapo). RNAcentral describes it as "Small nucleolar RNA SNORD45 (ENSSHBG00005000131.1)". It matches the Rfam family "Small nucleolar RNA SNORD45". Rfam says of the family: U45 belongs to the C/D class of snoRNA which contain the C (UGAUGA) and D (CUGA) box motifs. Most of the members of the box C/D family function in directing site-specific 2'-O-methylation of substrate RNAs. Lineage: Eukaryota; Metazoa; Chordata; Aves; Psittaciformes; Psittacidae. The record is from Rfam by way of RNAcentral.